RNAcentral lists this long non-coding RNA (977 nucleotides) under Struthio camelus australis. Its description in RNAcentral is "lncRNA (ENSSCUG00000015464.1)". Lineage: Eukaryota; Metazoa; Chordata; Aves; Struthioniformes; Struthionidae. The record is from RNAcentral.
UCCAGGUUACGAUACUGUUCCUGAAAAAGAGACUGCGAUGUUUUGAUAAGUCAUCGCCAAUAUCUACUAUAAAGAGGUUGAAAACUCCAGGUGCUGGAAAUGCUCUUAAACAGAUACGUAAGCUCAGCUCCAUCAGUCUUUUGAAUCCCUUUUGGGAGGUAGAGUCCCAGAAAGAAAGGGCUUAUUGGGACAUUUUGUCGUAGCAUUAUAAUAUCCAGGUUAAAAGCAAACAGUAUUUGAGCCAUUCUGCUUUCAAAAAACCCUGCUGUUUCUAUUAGGACAGUUCCAAAUGAUAUGUUAAUUUUUAAAAAUUAUUGUUGAGUUUGCUCAUUCCAGCUGUCUGGACUGCCAGAAAUACAGUGUCUGCUCAGCCUUGGGAAGGAAAGUUCGCCUGCUGCAGCCUUGGCCUAAUUGAAUACAAGGACCUGUCAGAGGACAGAACUUGCCGUGUGACCCUCGCAUUUUUCAGGUUGUCAUUCACGCUCCGAUCGUGCCUCGAUGGCUUUCUCAGCUGUCUGAACUGAAGAGUUUGCCUGUUUAAAAUAUUUUGGAAUCUAUCCACUUUGGCUUUUCUCUACACUUAUCGUGGCAUUGAAGAGCAGAGCUGGGCAUUUAUCCUGCUCAGCGGAGUCCUCAAUUUCAUUCCCAUCUGGAGUCACACACCAGUACUUGUGGGGCAAUUACCUUGGCGGAAGAAAGCGUUAUGGAACUGAUCCUCUGAACUUAGUGAAAAUCUACGAAAGAGGGUUCCAGCAGGAUGAUUUCUGUGACUGAGACACACCACGUUGCCUACGGACUGCUGCAUUUAACCAGUGGCAAAAUCCAGGGUUUCAGAGUGUGCUCUUAAAAAUAUUGGAGCCAACCUGUGACAGCCAGAGGAAAAACAGGAGUGGACAAUGAAGUCUGUGAUGUCAAGACAGACACAUAAAGGAAUGAGGUAAGGUUCGGUGUUUGCCUCUAAUAUGUUGUUUCAGGGU